Long non-coding RNA from Ictidomys tridecemlineatus (thirteen-lined ground squirrel), 4646 nucleotides. RefSeq lists it as uncharacterized. NCBI's taxonomy places the organism in Eukaryota, Metazoa, Chordata, Mammalia, Rodentia, Sciuridae. The record is from RefSeq and is a predicted model, not a curated record.
UACAAGGCCUUUUCAAAUGGCAUUGUGCAAGACUGCUUUUAGUCAGAAUGAGUGCUGUACAAGGUCAGGAAAAGGGAGUAAAGUGUGGUGACUGAAGAGAGAAGCCGCAAACAAACACACAAGAUCAGACAUCACUGGACUCUCUCUUGCUUUCCAUACACAGUCCCCAUCGGAUGCGGGCUGCUGUUCUUCGGUGUCUUCCAGCCAGGACACAUUGUCUGUGCUGUGUAGUUCAAGGUGUACAGAGAUCAAGAGGCAAAGAGUAGGAAAGCCCCCACCUCCUCCCCAAGAUGCUGGCAAAAGUCCACAAUUAGAGGUGCGGAGAGCAGAUGGGGAGGGUCCACGGCGGUGCAUGUGUGUACCAGGAUCUGGUCCUGCAGAGGUGCUGAGCUGUGUGCUAAGCCAGCAGAGUACCUGGGUCUCCGCGGCUGGCACCCCAAGUGUCAGCUGUGCUGGCGGCCACGGUCCCGAGACUGAGGCUGCAGCCCGCAGCCCGCGUGGGGGCGCUUCGUUCUGCGCAAGCGGCAGCGACCUGCCCGGCGCCGCCUCCGCCCGCCCCCCACAGUGGCCCAACUUGGACAGAGUUGUAGAGCUGAGUGUCUGCCCCCUCCGCUAGCCGAAAGCGGAGAGCCCGGCGCCGCUGCUUGGGGUCUGGGAUCCCCUCUCCUUCCCUGGGAUGGGAGACGUAGACACCCACCGCGGGUCCCUGGCCGCGCUGAGCGCUCUCCUGCCGGCGCUGGGCUCCAGAAGCUCUGCGUACCUGGGUUCAGCUACUCCUCAUGAUCCUGGGCCCCAGCCCAGGAGCCCCUCUUUGGUAGCUGCGAGGUGAGCUCUUGCUAUUCCUCUCCUCUCCCAGAGGGCCGCCAGCCGGGAUCUGGGAGGGAGCAAGCAGGAGCCCUAAAGAACUCGAAGCCUGUGGGACCAUGGGAGUCUGGAACCAGGAGCCAGGGUAAGGAAAAGCCACGGGCCUCGGAGCCUAGGUUGGCAAACAGCCUGCUAGCAACGGUGACAAGAAGCUGUUUGCAAUAAGGAGAUUGCAGCUUUGAUGUGACCACAACAGCCUAUAUUUUCUGAGCACCUAAUCUGUCCCAGGUGCUGAUCUAGGAGUGCAUAUGAAGUGGUAUAAGUUAUGAACAUUCGUUGAGACAGUAGAAGAUGCACAUCCUCUGAAUGUCAAGAGCACUAAAGAAGUGAAGAAACUGUGUAGAAGGCAUCUGUUCUCUGGUGGGAAAUGGGCCAAACAAUAUCCUUGAAGUGGAACCAGACUCCACUGCAUGUCACCAUUACUCCUGAGGAGCCCGGCUCUGCUCUGAUCACAGGGGUGCAGUAGUCCAAAGGCUGACAAGAAACAAAGUUUUCAGCGGACACAACAUCUUUGUAUGUGGUGCUGAGGAUCGAACCCGGGCCGCAUGCAUGCCAGAACUGAGAAGCAUCAGCAGCCACAACUAUAAUUCAGAGCCAAACUUCCAGAAACGAAGGAUGGACAAAGCCUCCCCUCUCAGGCCCCUUCUUUGACCCUGGAUUUCUCAGGUAGAGAAAUUCCACAUACUCCUUAAGAGGGACAGAGCUGGGAGCACAGGGUUUUCUGGGAAAACCAGCGGCAGAGGCUCCCUGCUUCUCUACAAGACACUUAUCUCUUCUUACUCAGGGAACCAAUAUUUUCUCCAACCAAGUGGGAGUCCAUGGGCUUUCCCUUCUAUUUGAGUACCCAUCCAGCCUCAGACCCAGUCGACCAAUGGGAAACUGUGUGGGCUUUUCUAAGCCCUCUGUGGGAACUCAAAGUAAGUCUCAGUGGAGAAAAUGUAGGAUUGGCCUGUGGUCUAAGUUGUAACCCUGUCUCUUAUAAAAUUGUGGUAUCAGAUGAAAUAUGAAUUUAGUCCCUGAAAAGUGUAGACUUGUCACAAAGGCAUGAUUAACGGGAAGUCAUCAUGAUUGCUUCCUGUCUACCAUUCAGGGGUCUGUCUGCCUGAAUCAUUGUAAAAGUUGUUCAUAUUCUGGCUUCAUAUGUGUGUGUGUGUGUGUGUGUGUGUGUGUGUGUGUGUGUGUAUAAAGGCUCCACCCUCAUAUCAUUAGUUUCAAUCAGUCGUUCUGCCAAUGUCUAAUUGUAUGACAGUAAACAUUCACAUAAUCUCUAAGCCCAAAUUUUCUCAUUUACAUGCUUACCACGCAUUCUUGCUCAAAUAAAAUCUCAGCUUUAAUUCUGGAACCUCAGGGUCUCAAAGCUAGGUGGGAAGCUUGUAUGUCAUCUGACAUGGCCUUUACCUGCUGCCGGCACUCACCUCUCACCAGCCUCGAAAACAAAUGAUCCUGCAUCUUCAGAUUGAAACUGACCUGGCUGUGAGCUAUCUCCCUCAGGAGUUCUGAUUGGUAGGAAGUUCUUUAUUGUGGUAAGAUGAACUCUAUACCCUCUAGUAACUUUUACCUGUUGAUAUCUGUGUUACCUCUGGAUCCAUUAACCUAAUUUAAUCACGACAUUGAAUAAUUCUGUAAAUGCCAUUACAUUUUUUUUUUUUUUUAUGUAAUCACUCAGCUCCUUUGCUGGCUCCACCUUUGGAGAUUCUGAUCUGGGUGGAGUCAUAAAACAGCAUCAAGUAUUUCUAAACAUUUCCAAGUGUUCUUGUCGAAUUGUUCUGAUGAUUCCCCCAGAGGCAUAAAUUCUACUGCCAUGACUGGAAGAGCAGGUGUCUUAAACUUGGAUUAUUUUAUUUUAUUUGGAAGUGAUUGCUCCUUAUUCUGACCUUCAUUUAUUUUUUUUAUUCUAAAGAAAAAAAGAUGAAUACAAUUUUAGAAGAGAACUUGAAAGCUUCUGAGUAACAAAAUGAAAGUCAUUUGUAACUCAACUAUUUGUAAAAAUAUAAAUAAAUAUUUUAAAUAUAAAUAAAUAUUUUAUGCCUUGUAUCUGGAUCAUGUUUCAGUAUAUGUAUUUAUAUGCAAUUGUUGAAACUGGCAGUCCAUGUGGUUCUAGGUGCUAACCUGGUACUGAGCAUUAUGUUGUCUUUUGAUAAGUAUUAUCAUAAUGGUUGCAUCAAAAUAUUUUGUUGAAUGAAUGCACCAUAAUUUACUUAAUGAAUCCUUGAUUGUAAUCGCCACUUUGGGUUCAGUUUUUAGGAACACCAAGGCUAUUUUCUUUGAAGAGUGGAAAUAUGAGAAAAGGUAAUGUCUGUAGGUUCCCAUCACAAAAUAUUUUUUUUCCCAAGUGUUAAAAUAAACCCUUCACCUUUUUUUUUCUUUUCUUUUCUUAAAUUAGAGUCACUAGGGCAAGUGUGUCCAAUCCUGUUGGAGCUGGAAAGUUGAAAACACAGGUUGAUGUGCAUGUGUGUGUGUGUAAAUUGUACUUCCCAAAUUUAAGCUUACAGUAUCAUAUUGGUGAUGUCUGUGACAAACAAGACUUCUUUGGUUUGUCCCUUUUACGGAUUCAAAAGGCCCACCCAGGGCUGGAACAACCUUUUCCUCUGAUAUUAAGAAUUUUCUUGGAAAUCACUGUCUCUCUGUGUCAGGAAGAAAGCUUUUAAUGCACUUGAACCCAGAGCAGAAAUCAAAAUAUUCCAAGUGUGCCUUGUGUUGACAUAAUUUGGAUCCACUUAUUUAUAGGCACAUCACCCUGGUGGCACAAAGGUUCCACCUCAUAUGAUCAGAUCAGUCCCCCAGGGUUACUGUUAAGAGUGGCAGUAUCCUCUCUACUCUGUAAACAUCAUCAAUUCUAGUUAUGUUCUUCAUGUGUCCAUUAAAAAAGGUGGAUGAGAGCUACCAAGAUGACUCCCUGGUUUUGGUAAUGAGGUACCCAUAUCGGGUGGGCAGAUCCUCCUCAUGGUUGACUAUGAUAAGUAAGAGAGAAACAUUUUGCUUCUCCUUUCCCACGCUAUAACUUUAAUAGCUAGGAAGGCCAGGACCUUUUAACUACUAACUUUGGUUCAAAUACAAAGAAAAAUGAUUAUCGAGAUUGAUCUUAUGAUAUAUCAGGGAUGAGAGAAGCCAUGCAGACUAGGAGGAAAGGGUAGUAAUGGCCAACCUUAUCUAUAGUUCAUAUAUUUAAAAUUCAGAACUGUGGACAUCCUGAAUCGAAAAGUUUUUGGCCAAUCAAAAUCAAAAUCAGCUUCUCAAAAAGAGAAAAGACACUCUGCUCAUAGAAUGGAACCACCAUAAUCUGUCAGUGAAUUUCUUAGCACAAACAUUGUAGGCUAGGAGAGAGUGGGAUGAUAUAUUCCGUGUACCGAAAGAAAAAAAGAAAACAUUCUGCAAGCCAAGAAUACCAUGUUUAACAAGACUGCCCUUCACAAAUGGAAGCAAGAUAAUGCUAUUCCCAGAUAAACAAAAGGUGAGGAAGUUCAUCACCUGUAAACCUGCCUUACAAGAAAUGUUAGAGUGAGUUCUUAUAGAGGAAAUGAAAGGAUUCUAUUUAGUCAUAUGAAAAUAUAUGUAAGUAUAAAAUUCUGGUAAAUAUAUAAUGCAUUUCAGAAUAUUUAAUUCUAUAUUGGUAGUAUAUAAAUCACUUUUGUAUAAAGAUUAAAAUACAAGUAUUAUAAAUACUUAUAGCUAUAAUAAUUUGUUAAUGGAUAGAAAAUACAUAAAAGAUCUGAGUUGUGACUUUAACACGUAAAAUAUUGUUGAGAGCCACAGCCAAGUCGGGAUGGCGCGCCUGGCAUUGC